UCUCAUCCGCUAAUCCCGGCACUCUCUGUGUGCAUCGCUGCCUGCGGAUCAUUGCGCGAAGCUCACGCAUCGUCCGUGUCUCCGUCUCUCUGCGCUCUACCCGUGUUCGGGUUUGGAGACGUCCGCACUUUGGUGAAUACCCCCCCCCCCCGCUCCACGCAUACGCACGCACGAACAGGCGCCGCACGCGACGGCGAAGAGCUUCGAGAGCGCACACAUAGCCAACGACCCUGGCAAGAAGGGAAGCACAGGGGGAAUUCGGGGACAUCGAUCGGCACGCCCACGUGCGCCGCAAACGCGCGCGAAAACAAACAAACAAGCGGACAGCGGCAGCAUGUUCGGUACACGCGACAAAAGCCGUCAUGCUGACGAGGCCGCGGAGAAACCGGAAGGGAGCAGAAGUGGCGAUGCCGCGGGUAGCAGCAGCAGCCGACACCGGCAACAGCGGCAGCAGCAGCGAGUGCGGGAUAGCUCGGCCCGAGAGGCCAAGAACACGUUCGGUACACCGACCAUGCUUGGCAUCCAGUAUACCUCUGAGGAGGCGAGCAACAUCUACAGCAAAGUUGGCACGCUCAACGGCUACACGUUUGAGGUGCCUCCGGUGAACCGGUUCCACAGCAAAACUGCCGAGGCGAAGUUCACCCAGCUCACCGGCGGUCUUAACCCGAAGUUCGAGGCCAGCCGCUUCGACAACCUGCGCGAGCGUCUUCAAGUGGCCGAUAAGCGCGACAAGGACGGCCACUUGCAGGCGAUCGCGAUGCUGUACGCCGAGUUCCUCGGGAACAACUUUCUGAAGGCCAAGAAUAUCGACUACGCCGAAAUCGAGCGCUGCUUCUACCCGAACUACGCGCCAAAGUACGACACGCUUUUGAAGUCGCUCGGGAUGCCCAAGCCGCUGUGGUGGCGGCAGGGCAUGUUCUCGUCGCUUGAGGACAUCUCGCGUCUCCCGCUGGAUCGCUGCAACGUGGAGAAGGAGACGUCGCUGACCUUUGAGGAGUGGUACUGCCUAUUCUGGAACUACUACCAGCCCUUCAACCCCCUCGCGUAUCUGUGCAUGAUCACGGCACAGUCGAUGGUGUACACGCGAGAGCUCGUUGACAGCGUGGCUGACUACCUGGCCGAACGACACGCCUUGAUUACCGAGGCGAAGGCCAAAAGCGUACCAAUCCUGUUCCUUGGCGCGCGCACGGGCAAGUUCGGCGCACUGCUGAACGCAACCAAGAAGCUGCCGGUCCCCAUCAUUCACACGCACGAGAACCCCAACAUGAACCCCUACCUGAUGGUGAUUCCGCAGAACAAGCAGGCCGAAUUCAAGCCGAACCCGAUCGUCAAGAUGAAGAAUCAGGCAGCACUGGAGAAGUACGAACCGAGCAUCGUGCUCUUCUCCGACAUGAUCAUGAACAACGAUCCGACGGCGCAGAUCCGACAACAAGGCUCGGUGCGCGAGUACGUGUACUUUGGGGUGCCGGACAGCUACUGCGAGGGGCACGCGUGGGAUACGUGGGGCUACUUCAAGUACCGUGAACGCGGCACCGAUCACAUUCCGGCGUACAUGCGUGAAGGGUUUGGCAAGGUGACGCUACCGCACCUCUCGCGCUGGAUGAUCCACAAACUGGACAGCGACAUGCAGAUGGGCAACGGUGCCGUGACAGCGUGGAUCCGCAAGCCGCUUCUGCCAGCGGCGAGCAUGCGGUGGAGAUGGCGCAUGAUGCGCCUCCAACCAUUUUUUUGACCGGCGGUCCGAGUGUACGGGUGCUCUCUCUGGCGUGGCGGGGGGGGUGGAGGGUCACGGGAUAUGACGAAGCUGGCAGUGCGCCUCACACAGGUGAGUUGAGGCCUCUCCCGCUUCUUCCCCCAGCACAUACACGCACUCACACAUUCGCAUGCGGACCUGUUUGGGCUGCUUCCCAAGCUGCGCGCCGACUUGCCAAAACGCCCCCUAACACGUGUGUGUGUGCGCCUUCCCCCCCCUUUCUCCCCAUCCUACGCCCGCCGCCCAGGUGGAAGGAGGGAGGAGGCCAAUGUGGAAGAGCAGACCGAGAAGGCGGCGGCUCUAGUUUCUCGGCGAAGGGAGGCGUGCGCGUUGACUUCGGCGAGCUUUGGCCUUCGCUGCCCCCUCUUUCUCUGCGAGUGUUCACAUCUCGGGUAAAGCACGCCAAC
RNAcentral lists this unclassified non-coding RNA (2160 nucleotides) under Leishmania donovani. Its description in RNAcentral is "gene:LdHU3.35.2970(CDS-product:hypothetical_prote in_conserved)". Lineage: Eukaryota; Euglenozoa; Kinetoplastea; Trypanosomatida; Trypanosomatidae. The record is from RNAcentral.